Molecule: long non-coding RNA, 399 nt
Organism: Cyprinodon tularosa
Lineage: Eukaryota; Metazoa; Chordata; Actinopteri; Cyprinodontiformes; Cyprinodontidae
Exons: 2
Source: RefSeq, a predicted model, not a curated record
UUGCGUUCUCCGACAGCUACAGUUUAGCGCGUGCCCGCCUUCAACAGUGAUUAAAAUAAGUCAUAGAGAAAGCGAACAAGACUAACGAUAUCUCCCAGUCAAGAGCAGAACAGCCCAAGCAGCCACAACUAAACAUCUUCCCUAGAACCUGUCAUGGGGACAGGAAAAGAUGUUUUUCUAAAGAGUGGUACAGCAGAUAUAAAUGGCUCGAAUAUUCUCAGAGUAAAGACUCUGUAUAUUUAUAUAAUACAUAUAUAUAAUAUAUAUUUUUAUAUAUUAAGAAUAAGUUAACAUAUAAGUGUUUCUUGUAAUCUUUUUUUUUGUAUCCUUGUAAUCAUUAUAUGACCGUUGUUCCCUGUUGGGAAAUUCCUGUUACAUAAAUAAAGAUAUAAUUUCUUA